RNAcentral lists this ribosomal RNA (595 nucleotides) under uncultured bacterium. RNAcentral's name for it is "bacterial SSU rRNA". It matches the Rfam family "Bacterial small subunit ribosomal RNA", at positions 55 to 642 of the family's 1533-position model. The record is from RNAcentral.
AUGCAAGUCGAACGGCAGCGCGAGGAGCUUGCUCCUUGGCGGCGAGUGGCGGACGGGUGAGUAACGCGUAGGAAACUACCUAGUAGUGGGGGAUAACUCGGGGAAACUCGGGCUAAUACCGCAUACGCUCUACGGAGGAAAGCAGGGGAUCUUCGGACCUUGCGCUAUUAGAUGUGCCUGCGUCGGAUUAGCUUGUUGGUGGGGUAAAGGCCUACCAAGGCGAUGAUCCGUANCUGGUCUGAGGGGAUGACCAGCCACACUGGGACUGAGACACGGCCCAGACUCCUACGGGAGGCAGCAGUGGGGAAUAUUGGACAAUGGGGGGAACCCUGAUCCAGCAACGCCGCGUGUGUGAAGAAGGUCUUCGGAUUGUAAAGCACUUUCAGCGGGGAGGAAAAAACAGUCCUUAAUACGGGCUAUCUUAACAUUACCCGCAAAAGAAGCACUGGCUAACUCUGUGCCAGCAGCCGCGGUAAUACAGAGAGUGCGAGCGUUAAUCGGAAUUAUUGGGCGUAAAGCGCGCGUANGUUGAUCGCUAAGUCAAAUGUGAAAGCCCUGGGCUCAACCCAGGAACUGCAUUUGAUACUGGUGGUCU